ACGGGGUGCAGCAGGCGCGAAACCUUUACAAUGCGCGAAAGCGUGAUAGGGGAACUCUGAGUGGCAGCCGGCUUUUGCCGACUGUCUUUUGGCGAACCUAAACCGUUCGCAGAAUAAGUUCUGGGUAAGACCAGUGCCAGCCGCCAUGUGCUCACUGCACAAGAGCGCACGGUACGCGGUAAUACUGGCAGAACGAGUGGUGCCCACGAAUAUUGGGUCUAAAGAGACCGUAGCUGGCCCGUUAAGUCCACUGUGAAAUCUUGGGGCUCAACCUCAAGGCGUGCAGUGGAUACUGGCAGGCUUGAGAGCGGGGGAGGUCAGGGGUACUUACGGGGUAUGAGUAAAAUCAGUUGAUCCUGUAAGGACCACCAGUGGCGAAGGCGCCUGACCAAAACGCGUCUGACAGUGAGGGUCGAAGGCUAGGAGAACGAAUCGGAUUAGAUACCCGAGUAGCCCUAGCAGUAAAUCAUGCAGACUGUGGUGUUGCCGAAGCUUCGGGCUUCGGCAGUGCUGUAGCGUAGGUGUUAAGUCUGCCACCUGGGGAGUACGGCCGCAAGGUUGAAACUUAAAGGAAUUGGCGGGGGAGCA
This 588-nucleotide ribosomal RNA is filed under the name uncultured archaeon. RNAcentral's name for it is "bacterial SSU rRNA". It matches the Rfam family "Archaeal small subunit ribosomal RNA", at positions 325 to 878 of the family's 1478-position model. The record is from RNAcentral.